This 253-nucleotide ribosomal RNA is filed under the name uncultured bacterium. RNAcentral describes it as "partial 16S ribosomal RNA". It matches the Rfam family "Bacterial small subunit ribosomal RNA", at positions 524 to 776 of the family's 1533-position model. The record is from RNAcentral.
UACGUAGGGUGCGAGCGUUAAUCGGAAUUACUGGGCGUAAAGCGUGCGCAGGCGGUUUUGUAAGCCCGAUGUGAAAUCCCCGGGCUUAACCUGGGAAUGGCAUUUGGGACUGCAAGGCUGGAGUGUGGCAGAGGAGACUGGAAUUCCUGGUGUAGCAGUGAAAUGCGUAGAUAUCAGGAGGAACACCGGUGGCGAAGGCGGGUCUCUGGGGCGAUACUGACGCUGAGGAGCGAAAGCGUGGGGAGCAAACAGG